Molecule: ribosomal RNA, 254 nt
Filed under: uncultured bacterium
Lineage: Bacteria
Description: partial 16S ribosomal RNA
Rfam family: Bacterial small subunit ribosomal RNA
Source: RNAcentral
GACAGAGGAUGCAAGCGUUAUCCGGAAUUACUGGGCGUAAAGCGUGCGCAGGCGGUUAUGUAAGACAGUUGUGAAAUCCCCGGGCUCAACCUGGGAACUGCAUCUGUGACUGCAUAGCUAGAGUACGGUAGAGGGGGAUGGAAUUCCGCGUGUAGCAGUGAAAUGCGUAGAUAUGCGGAGGAACACCGAUGGCGAAGGCAAUCCCCUGGACCUGUACUGACGCUCAUGCACGAAAGGCGUGGGGAGCAAACAGG